Molecule: small nuclear RNA, 103 nt
Organism: Hyaena hyaena (striped hyena)
Lineage: Eukaryota; Metazoa; Chordata; Mammalia; Carnivora; Hyaenidae
Source: RefSeq, a predicted model, not a curated record
UUACUUCAGUACUAUAUAUACUAAAAUUGGAAUAGCACAGAGAAGAUUAGCAUGUCCACUGCACAAGAAUGACAUGCAAAUUCGUGAAGCAUUACGUAUUUUU